GGCGACGUGGCCGAGUGGCAAGGCAGAGGCCUGCAAAGCCUUGUACACCAGUUCGAAUCUGGUCGUCGCCU
RNAcentral lists this transfer RNA (71 nucleotides) under Chloroflexota bacterium. RNAcentral describes it as "tRNA-Cys". It matches the Rfam family "tRNA". Rfam says of the family: Transfer RNA (tRNA) molecules are approximately 80 nucleotides in length. Their secondary structure includes four short double-helical elements and three loops (D, anti-codon, and T loops). Further hydrogen bonds mediate the characteristic L-shaped molecular structure. tRNAs have two regions of fundamental functional importance: the anti-codon, which is responsible for specific mRNA codon recognition, and the 3' end, to which the tRNAs corresponding amino acid is attached (by aminoacyl-tRNA synthetases). tRNAs cope with the degeneracy of the genetic code in two manners: having more than one tRNA (with a specific anti-codon) for a particular amino acid; and 'wobble' base-pairing, i.e. permitting non-standard base-pairing at the 3rd anti-codon position. RNAcentral also lists the same sequence under 2 other names. The record is from RNAcentral. Lineage: Bacteria; Bacillati; Chloroflexota.